Molecule: long non-coding RNA, 366 nt
Filed under: Gallus gallus (chicken)
Lineage: Eukaryota; Metazoa; Chordata; Aves; Galliformes; Phasianidae
Description: lncRNA (ENSGALG00010014009.1)
Source: RNAcentral
UUCCAGGCACUGCUUCCUGCAUCCAUCCUGGGCCUGUGGAUUUGCAACGACCCCUUUCGGACCAGUGAAAUGGCACGGCUGGGACUGGGGCUGCCCGAGGAAUUUCCUCCUUUCCUCCUCCAAGCUCUAUCUUGACAGCUGAGAGCAGCCAGAGCAUUCCUGCCAGCACACCCCGAACGUGCACAUCUGGAGAGUUAUCAUCAGGUCUGUCCUUAUGUUAUUUCUGCUUCCAUUGCCUCUACACCUGCUGCGGCCUUUCAGUGCUCGAAGAACUGUAGAGCAAGGAUCAAAAGCAAGAUUUUCUCCUUACUUGCAUAAGCUGCCCUACUAAAACAUGAAUCUCAUAAAUAAAGAAAUUGGGAAUUG